This 1029-nucleotide long non-coding RNA is filed under the name Sinocyclocheilus grahami. RNAcentral describes it as "lncRNA (ENSSGRG00000050980.1)". Lineage: Eukaryota; Metazoa; Chordata; Actinopteri; Cypriniformes; Cyprinidae. The record is from RNAcentral.
GACUGUACAAGGAAAAAAAUGCAAAUUCCCUUUCGUGGAACUUCGAACUGCGUCCUCUAGGGGUCGCUAUGGGGAACGCCUCGUCGUGACCCGUGUCUGAAGCCUACAUUGAAAAAACACCAACUUGUUUGGCCGGCGACAGCCAUGACGUCACUACCGUCGCAACUAGUACAAAAUAGGCGCCGGUAGCGCACAUCAUCACUUUCUUCGUCUUCACUGACCGUUCUGUUUGAAGCGUGCAUUCCAAAAGCAAAGUAAGACUAUUUCUUUUCCUACUAUGGCGAGCACUAGCGGAGCGUUUAGAAAGUGUGUACAUCCGUGCCAGCGGUUCCUGACACCCGAUGAUUCACACGAUCUAUGCGUUGUUUGUUUGGGCGAGGAGCACGCACGCGAUGUCUUCGAGGAGGCAAUCUGCGUGCAUUGCGAGAGCUUUUCGCUGAAAAAGCUCCGUUCUCGUUUGUCUCUCUUCUCGAGUGGAGAGGGACAACCAUCGGUUUCCCGCGGCUCGGGACCUGCCGCUGCUGAGGCACGGAGGAGAAUGAGCUCGUGGGGAUCUCAGGUGGACCUAGCCGAUGAGGCUGAAGGGGGGGUUCCCCUCUUCCGCGCAUCGGUGUCGGGCGAGAGACAGCCACUGGACGAUGAUAUCCUCUCUCUGAUAUCAUCUGAUCCAGGGGCCAGUGCUCAGUUGGGCCCAGCCCAACAAGAGCAGGAAAUGGAUGCGGAGAGUGAAGAAGCUGAGGCUGAGCUUUCCCAAUCCACCUGCCCGGCGUAUGAUGAGCUGUUAGAGGUGAUGGAUCGGGCCACGGCAAGGCUCGAAUUACCGUGGAAACGAGCCAAGGAGGUGACGUCGCGAGGUCGCCUCGACGAACGUUAUCUCUCCGGCCAUACACCUCCAGCUCAAGUGAGCCUUCCUUUCCUUCCUGAUCUCCAUACUGAGAUCGAGAAGGAAUGGGAGAAGCCGUUUUCCUCACGCGUAUACCGGUUUCAGCAUACGAGUUAUGCGAACAUCGAGUCGAUGCGCGAAAGCGG